AGCGAGACUGCCGGUAUAAACCGGAGGAAGGUGGGGAUGACGUCAAAUCAUCAUGCCCUUAUGACCUGGGCUACACACGUGCUACAAUGGUUGGUACAACGAGUUGCGAGUCGGUGACGGCGAGCUAAUCUCUUAAAGCCAAUCUCAGUUCGGAUUGUAGGCUGCAACUCGCCUACAUGAAGUCGGAAUCGCUAGUAAUCGCGGAUCAGCACGCCGCGGUGAAUACGUUCCCGGGCCUU
This 239-nucleotide ribosomal RNA is filed under the name uncultured Streptococcus sp. RNAcentral describes it as "partial 16S ribosomal RNA". It matches the Rfam family "Bacterial small subunit ribosomal RNA", at positions 1142 to 1382 of the family's 1533-position model. The record is from RNAcentral. Lineage: Bacteria; Bacillati; Bacillota; Bacilli; Lactobacillales; Streptococcaceae.